RNAcentral lists this ribosomal RNA (433 nucleotides) under uncultured bacterium. Its description in RNAcentral is "partial 16S ribosomal RNA". It matches the Rfam family "Bacterial small subunit ribosomal RNA", at positions 29 to 507 of the family's 1533-position model. The record is from RNAcentral.
AACGAACGCUGGCGGCAUGCCUAACACAUGCAAGUCGAACGAGCCCUUCGGGGUUAGUGGCACACGGGUGCGUAACGCGUGGGAAUCUGCCCUUGGGUUCGGAAUAACAGUGAGAAAUUACUGCUAAUACCGGAUGAUGUCUUCGGACCAAAGAUUUAUCGCCCAAGGAUGAGCCCGCGUAGGAUUAGCUAGUUGGUGGGGUAAUGGCCUACCAAGGCGACGAUCCUUAGCUGGUCUGAGAGGAUGAUCAGCCACACUGGGACUGAGACACGGCCCAGACUCCUACGGGAGGCAGCAGUGGGGAAUAUUGGACAAUGGGCGAAAGCCUGAUCCAGCAAUGCCGCGUGAGUGAUGAAGGCCUUAGGGUUGUAAAGCUCUUUUACCCGGGAUGAUAAUGACAGUACCGGGAGAAUAAGCUCCGGCUAACUCCGUG